GAAAUGCGAUACGUAGUGUGAAUUGCAGAUAAUGUGAACCAUCGAAUCUUUGAACGCAAAUUGCGCCCGAGGCUUCGGCCAAAGGCAUGCCUGCCUCAGCGUCGGUUCCACACCUCCGACCUCUUUCACUGCGGUGGAAAGAGACGGGACCUGGUCGUCUCAGCUCUCGAGCUGGGUCCGCCGAAGCACAGAGGCUCGAGCCGGAUCCCGAUCAAAGGGGCAACAGUCUGGUAGGUGAGCCCGCCUCACAUGCCGCUGGUGCCUCGGGAAGGCGAGCCCGCAGGAAUUGGUUCCCCGAGAACCAUCUCAACCAUUCGACCUGAGUUCAGGCAAGAGCACCCGCUGAACUUAA
This 352-nucleotide unclassified non-coding RNA is filed under the name uncultured fungus. RNAcentral's name for it is "sequence contains ITS1". The stretch from base 1 to 104 matches the Rfam family "5.8S ribosomal RNA", at positions 50 to 154 of the family's 154-position model. Lineage: Eukaryota; Fungi. The record is from RNAcentral.